RNAcentral lists this ribosomal RNA (455 nucleotides) under Meriderma carestiae. RNAcentral's name for it is "bacterial SSU rRNA". It matches the Rfam family "Eukaryotic small subunit ribosomal RNA", at positions 1 to 404 of the family's 1831-position model. Lineage: Eukaryota; Evosea; Eumycetozoa; Stemonitida; Stemonitidae. The record is from RNAcentral.
UAAUAACCUGGUUGAUCCUGCCAGUAGUGUAUGCUUUUCCUAAAGACUAAGCCAUGCAUGUCUUCGAAUAAGAGGAAGCAAUUCUCUCUGAAUCUGCGUACGGCUCCGCACACCAGUUGUAAACCAAAGCAAGCAAGCCCGGUCUCGACGCCUUUCGGGGCUAGGGGCCGGGCUACAAGGAAACCCUGGUAAUUCUGAGGCUAAUACUUGACACGAACCUGCUGACUGGGUCUCGGCUCGGGAGGUGGGGGAUGUGCGACUAUCGGGCCAACGAAACCGGAAAGAGCGCACGUUCAGACCACUUAAAAAGGCUUCGGGGUCCCUCGGGAUCCCGGGGCUGUGGCUCUUGCAGCGUGCUUCUGACCUAUCAACUAGACGGCAGCCUAAGGGACAUGCUUUGGUGACAACGGGUACAGAGGAUAAGGGUUCGAUCCUGGAGAGUGGGCCUGAGAGAU